UACGUAGGAAGCAAGCGUUAUCCGGAUUUACUGGGCGUAAAGUGAGCGUAGGUGGCUUUUCAAGUCGGAUGUGAAAUCUCCUGGCUUAACUGGGAGGGGUCAUCCGAUACUGUUGAGCUAGAGGACAGCAGGGGAAGGUGGAAUUCCCGGUGUAGUGGUGAAAUGCGUAGAUAUCGGGAGGAACACCAGUGGCGAAGGCGGCCUUCCAGGCUGUUUCUGACACUGAGGCUCGAAAGUGUGGGGAGCGAACAGAAUUAGAUACUCUGGUAGUCCACACCGUAAACGAUGGACACUAGGUAUAGGGAGUUUCGACCCUCUCUGUGCCGAAGCUAACGCUUUAAGUGUCCCGCCUGGGGACUACGGCCGCAAGGUUA
RNAcentral lists this ribosomal RNA (374 nucleotides) under uncultured prokaryote. Its description in RNAcentral is "bacterial SSU rRNA". It matches the Rfam family "Bacterial small subunit ribosomal RNA", at positions 524 to 896 of the family's 1533-position model. The record is from RNAcentral.